GAAAUGCGAUAAGUAAUGUGAAUUGCAGAAUUCAGUGAAUCAUCGAAUCUUUGAACGCACAUUGCGCCCCGUGGUAUUCCGCGGGGCAUGCCUGUUCGAGCGUCAUUUAAACCAAUCCAGCUUGCUGGGUCUUGGGCCUACGCCUCCGGGCGGGCCUCAAAAUCAGUGGCGGCGCCAUCCGGCUCUAAGCGUAGUAAUACUUCUCGCUACAGGGUCCCGGGUGGAGGCUUGCCAACAACCCCCAAUUUUCAAAGGUUGACCUCGGAUCAGGUAGGGAUACCCGCUGAACUUAA
This 293-nucleotide unclassified non-coding RNA is filed under the name uncultured Helotiaceae. Its description in RNAcentral is "sequence contains ITS1". The stretch from base 1 to 105 matches the Rfam family "5.8S ribosomal RNA", at positions 50 to 154 of the family's 154-position model. Lineage: Eukaryota; Fungi; Ascomycota; Leotiomycetes; Helotiales; Helotiaceae. The record is from RNAcentral.